GAAAUCGAGGACGUGAGGAAGGGCAGGCGAACCGCGAAGGAGCUUGCCCGAACCUGCACAGCUCAGUAUCCAUGUUCAAUUCCCACAAAUGCUAGCCCACCAGAUGACUUGUUGACUAAUGCACGCCUAAAGAAAAAGGAGGUCGAAACAAAAACUUCAAAACGAAAAAGAACUUGGCUCGAUAAGAAGCACAAGAUAAGGAAAAAGAGAGAAAAGAUAGAAGAGGUUGGGGAAGUGGCCUGUAGUGGUAGUGCACAAGCACAUGUACAAGGAAAAGUGGCAAAUGAUAGUGUUCAUGAAGUUCAAAAUGCCAAUCUUAGCUUCACUCAAUUAUUAACGGGACCAAUCACAGAUGACUUUAUUACUGGGUUAUGGUGAAAUAGUCUGUCUUUUGCUAGAUGUCAUGGAAAUGUGUGACUUAGUACUUGCUAGCAC
Molecule: non-coding RNA, 435 nt
Organism: Lolium perenne
Lineage: Eukaryota; Viridiplantae; Streptophyta; Magnoliopsida; Poales; Poaceae
Source: RefSeq, a predicted model, not a curated record